UUUCCUUUUCUGAAAAACUCCUGGAAGAUACUAACAUUGAGCAAAGGUACUAGGUUUUUGCUAAAGAUUCACCCACAAGUUAUUAUUGCCUGGCCAACUGUGUGCUACACAAGGCCUAAUAAAUGAGAAAAUAGACAUGAUUAUACUUUAGACAAGUUGCUAUUCAAAUGUAAGAUGGUCUCUAAACUCAUUUUUAUUGAUUUAAAAAAAUGAAUAAUUGAAUGCUAUAUGCUGCAAAUACUUUUCAUUUUAGUUGCAAUCAUUAAAAUAAUAUGAUUUCGUUUAUUGAGUUAAAAUAUUGCAAUGCAAAUGACUUGCUAUUUUUAACUUAAUAUUUUGCCAUAUUUGCAGUAAAACUGUCUUUAUUAGCUAUAGCUUCAAAACUGAUAGGGACCUAAAAUUGUUACCAUAUAGAUGAUACACAUUUCAAUUCUGGACUAGGGCAGAGAGAAUUAUAUUUGCUUAAUUUUUUCCUUGACCUUUUAAGUUAUGUUAUGAUCAGAUGUUGCAACCAAUUAGUAGGUGUUCACCUGUUGUAAAGCAUUUUGCACAUUUGGCCUUAAUGCAAGAUACCUUUCUUUUGUAAAAUAAGGCUCUUUAUUAAAAGAAAAACUUGCAUUCUGCAUUAUUUGAUAGAAUAUUUAUAUCCACCUGAUGGUUCCCUACUUAUUUAUAUUUUAUACUAUAUGCAAGUAUUAAGGUUUCGAAGCAUGAUCUUGACUUGAGUAUGCAUUUUCAUUAUGAUCACUUGAAUUCUCUUCAUGUGAAAAUUGAAGAGUAAAUGUAAAAGUCAAUGAGGGUAAAAAGGCCUUGGGGAGCAAAUUUCAAGGGUUCAGUUAUUUAUUUAACAAGUCUGAUAAAUCAACUUGUCAAUUGGCAGCUUUCAGCAGCCUGUGUUAACAUAUCCUUGAACACCUAAUAGUGAGCAGGCAUUCGUUUUAGGCUGGGUAUUUGCUAGCGAACCAAAUGAAAACAAUCUCUGAUCUCAUUCAUCUUAGUGUUAGUUGGAGGAACUUACAUUACAAACAAUCCCACAUGUGAUAAGUGCUCUGAAGGAAAAGAAAAGGAACCUGUGGCAGAACAAGAGGAUGGUUUGAAGAGAUGGAAGAGAUGCGUGAGACAGGGUCAGCAGGCGAGGAGAGGAAGAGUUUGACGGGCAGAAAGAGAACCGUGUGUGCAGGACCUGAGGUGGGGAAAGCCUGCUGGAGUGUGGAUAUUGGAGGGAAGUGAGGAGAGCAGCCAGUCAGUAAAAACCUACCAAAAACCUUUCUACUGUUCUGGAUGCUGAGCAGUUUCAGAGCGAGGUGGUAGCCAUUGCGGUGCAGGGACAACAGUAGAUUCAAGGUAAAACAAAAUCAUUGGGGUUCUGACAGAUUGGAUAUGAAGUGAGGGAGAGAGGCAUAUGUUAAGUGUGACUCAGGCCGA
This is a long non-coding RNA of Pipistrellus kuhlii (Kuhl's pipistrelle), 1425 nucleotides long. RefSeq lists it as uncharacterized. The record is from RefSeq and is a predicted model, not a curated record. NCBI's taxonomy places the organism in Eukaryota, Metazoa, Chordata, Mammalia, Chiroptera, Vespertilionidae. The transcript has 3 exons.